ACGGAAGGCAGCAGUGGGGAAUAUUGGGCAAUGGGCGAAAGCCUGAUGCAGCGACGCCGCGUGAGCGAAGAAGUAUUUCGGUAUGUAAAGCUCUAUCAGCAGGGAAGAAGAAAUGACGGUACCUGACUAAGAAGCACCGGCUAAAUACGUGCCAGCAGCCGCGGUAAUACGUAUGGUGCAAGCGUUAUCCGGAUUUACUGGGUGUAAAGGGAGCGUAGACGGCAUAGCAAGUCUGAUGUGAAAUCCCCGGGCUCAACCCGGGAACUGCAUUGGAAACUGUUAAGCUAGAGUACAGGAGAGGUAAGUGGAAUUCCUAGUGUAGCGGUGAAAUGCGUAGAUAUUAGGAGGAACACCAGUGGCGAAGGCGGCUUACUGGACUGUAACUGACGUUGAGGCUCGAAAGCGUGGGGAGCAAACAGGAUUAGAUACCCUGGUA
This 436-nucleotide ribosomal RNA is filed under the name uncultured Ruminococcus sp. RNAcentral's name for it is "partial 16S ribosomal RNA". It matches the Rfam family "Bacterial small subunit ribosomal RNA", at positions 341 to 792 of the family's 1533-position model. The record is from RNAcentral. Lineage: Bacteria; Bacillati; Bacillota; Clostridia; Eubacteriales; Oscillospiraceae.